AAUUUUUAAAAUAUAACCGUUAAUAUUUAUCAAAUAAUUUAAUUUAAUCUCAAUUUCAAACGCACCCAUAAUUCCAUCAGAAAUUGAAAUACAACGUAAAACAUCAAUGUGAAAAUUGGAGAAAAAUAAAGCGUAGUGUCGUAGUGAUGAUUGAGCAUGAAGUGAAAAGCAUUUUAUGUGGGAUUUGGAUUUGGGACUGGAAACGAGCAAAGGCGGAAGGCAUCAACUUUUGAAAAGCCCCAUCAUUAUCAUUACUGCUGCGGACAAAAUGUGACAAAAAGAGAUAUUGCGUACAGUGGCCUAUGGCCCACGGACAGGGAGGAUCAAAGUACUAUCAAGGUCUUAGUGUUUAUUUAGUAUGACUUAUUUAAGAGUUACAAGGACUUAUUUAAUGUAUAA
Molecule: long non-coding RNA, 399 nt
Filed under: Citrus x clementina
Lineage: Eukaryota; Viridiplantae; Streptophyta; Magnoliopsida; Sapindales; Rutaceae
Description: Citrus clementina (C. clementina) long non-coding RNA (CCLE_LNC003932)
Source: RNAcentral